ACCGCCCGUCACACCAUGGGAGUGGGUUUCUACCAGAAGCAGCUAGCCUAACCGCAAGGGGGGGGCCGGGUUUGCCACGGUGAGAUUCAUGACNGGGGUG
This 100-nucleotide ribosomal RNA is filed under the name uncultured bacterium. RNAcentral describes it as "partial 16S ribosomal RNA". The record is from RNAcentral.